AAAAAUAUGACUUUCUUAUUAUUUUGGGUUCAGGUACACAUAUGAUAUGAAAAGUAUCAUGAUUGAUGAUUACAAAUACAUAUUAUAUGAUUCCAGGUGAUGGAGAAGGAUGAAUAAAACUACUAGUACUCUACCACUUGCUCUGUGGAAGAAGAAGGACUACUAUUAAAGAAAGAAAGUGUAGAGGGUCCAAAUUAACAGAUAUGACAUAUUGUGGGGCACAUACUUAAUAUGGAAUUUUCCAAGUCAGUAUCGGACCCCACAAUUCAUUAGUGAAACUUGCAUCAGUCAAUGGCUGAGUGUACUGAUAAUAAUGGGGUCAGGUUCCUCAGUUGACAUUUCAUGUCAAUAUAUACUUUCUAGUCACCAUUGUAAGAUAAGAGAGCAAGCACUGUUACAAGUAUCAAUGUACAUAGUUUUUACUAUUCACUAAUAAAAACCAACCUUGCUAAUUUAGAAAGAAAAACAUGAUAUUAUGAAAAACUCCUUUCAUUUUCUAUGCCUUGCUACUAGCUCUAAAGCUAGUUCACGUGUUAUGUUCUGAUGAACCCUACACGAGGUCACAAGUUCGGACAUCAUGUAUAAGCCUGUCUUAAGCCAUUGUCUCGGUUAUUAAAGUCACAC
This 624-nucleotide long non-coding RNA is filed under the name Lupinus angustifolius (narrow-leaved blue lupine). Its description in RNAcentral is "long non-coding RNA (LANG_LNC001645)". The record is from RNAcentral. Lineage: Eukaryota; Viridiplantae; Streptophyta; Magnoliopsida; Fabales; Fabaceae.